GCCAUCAUGCAUACGCUGAUAUAAAUAAACUAAUUAACGUGAAAUAUUCAAGUAGUGUACCUAUUCUGUAACGUAAAAGAGUAUUACUUGAGGAAUGAUACGAUAUUUAAAAAAUAUAUGGUAGAUAAUAUGUUGAUUGUUGAGUGGAGAAAAGGAUCCACAGAUUUAAAAAAAAAAUGAUAAUAUAUCGUAGAUAAUGUGUUGGAUCAUGUUCUAAAAUAAAAGUGAUACUCCCUCCGUCCCAUUAAAAUUGGCCACAUUUCCUUUUUGGUGUAUCCCAUUAUUUCUGGUCACUUUCUAAAAUAAGGAAAAAUUUAACUUAAUUAGGACCACUAAUUAAGUUACUAACUAAACCCUAAUUUAACCUACUUAAAGUCUAUUUUCUCCAUCAUUUCCACCUAACCCUAGCAGCCCACUCUUUCGUCUCUCUCUCUCUCUCUUAUUGUUCGUCCCUUCCCUCUGAAUCUAGGGUUUUCGUCGUUCAAUUGCGUUCAAUCGGUCGUUCCCCAUCUGAAUGUAGGGUUCUCACCCAUGAUUCGCCGUUCAAUCGGCUCGUCGCCUCUCUGUAUCUAGAGUUCACAGCUGCCGCAAUGAUGAGCAAUCCUUUCUCCGACGCUCCUGCUUCACCGGAGCCCGUCGCCUCUCUGAGCGGCGUCUUGCGGCACGCACCUUCCCCGUCGAGUCUCAGAUUGAAGGCUCCCCGUCCGUUUUCAUCCCGCGCCUCCACUGACUCUCCGGCUUCACCGGAGCCCGUCGCCUCUAUGAGCGGCGUUCUAUUGCCGCCAGCAACCCCCACCGUCUAGUCUCCAUCGAUUGGCGGAGAUUGUAUGUCGAAUGGCCAUAUCUUGAGGAAGAUAGUCAGAUCGAGGGCUCCCUCGUCUGUUUUCAUCCCGCCGCCUCCACUGACUCUCCGGCCUCUCUAGAAUCUUCGCCGCCUUCGUUGACCUAUCCAUCUCCGCCUGAUUCGACGGAAACCGAUGGGGAUCUCUCUGGGCUUAUUGUGGCCAACACACUGUCACCGUGGUUCAUUUGAGAGUACGGCGCAGAUUCACUAGACGAUGUGGACUUCGGUUGCUAGAGGCAAGUCCCGGAAACGGAGCAGCAACCUAUUUCAGCGGUCCAAAGACGAAUGACAUUACGUUGGGAGGAAUUGAAGAGUGAUGCAGCCUCUUUCAUGGCUCCAUAUCUUGGCUUUCCAUUCUCAAGUUGGCUAAAGAAAUUGGACUAUUUUGUUCCUAUCUUGAUUAGAUAGGUUUUUGCUAACCAUUGUUCAAAAGUUUUUUUUUUUUAGAACUACUGUAGUUUGAUAAAUCUGCCAAUAGAGGACAGAUUUAUAGUGUAGCUUUUGGUGGGAAAACUGAAAAUAUGUUGAAGUUAUGAAAUGAAAAAAGUUGGAGGAGCCAAAA
Salvia miltiorrhiza (redroot sage) is the source of this 1406-nucleotide long non-coding RNA. RefSeq lists it as uncharacterized. The record is from RefSeq and is a predicted model, not a curated record. Lineage: Eukaryota; Viridiplantae; Streptophyta; Magnoliopsida; Lamiales; Lamiaceae. The transcript has 2 exons.